GCUCAGGACGAACGCUGGGCGGCGGGCUUAACACAUGCAAGUCGCGGGAGAAGGGGCCCUUCGGGGCCCCGGAGACCGGCGGAUGGGUGAGUAACGCGUAGGUAAUCUGCCUUUAGCACGGGAAUAACCCACCGAAAGGUGAGCUAAUGCCCGAUGAUGCAGCGGCCCCGCAUGGGGACAGUUGUUAAAGCCUUCGGGCGGCUAAAGAUGAGCCUGCGUGCCAUUAGUUAGUUGGUAGGGUCAAAGCCUACCAAGACGAUGAUGGCUAGGGGGUCUGAGAGGAUGAUCCCCCACACUGGGACUGAGACACGGCCCAGACUCCUACGGGAGGCAGCAGUGAGGAAUCUUGCGCAAUGGGGGCAACCCUGACGCAGCCACGCCGCGUGCUGGAAGACGGCCCUAUGGGUUGUAAACAGCUUUUGGUCGGGAAGAACCCCGGAGUUUCGACUCCGGCUGACGGUACCGAUUGAAUAAGCACCGGUUAACUCCGUGCCAGCAGCCGCGGUAAUACGGAGGGUGCAAGCGUUGUCCGGAAUCAUUGGGUGUAAAGGGUGUGCAGGCGGAAGUCUAAGUCGGAGGUGAAAUCUUGCCGCUUAACGGUAAAAGGGCCUUCGAAACUGGAUUUCUUGAGUU
RNAcentral lists this ribosomal RNA (633 nucleotides) under uncultured bacterium. RNAcentral describes it as "bacterial SSU rRNA". It matches the Rfam family "Bacterial small subunit ribosomal RNA", at positions 22 to 648 of the family's 1533-position model. The record is from RNAcentral.